UAUUCUAUCAACCUUAAUGCCAUGUUUGUAGGCUUGUGAACACUGACCCUAUCCAACUCAAAGAAAGAAGACGCAGGCUAGUAUUCUCAUCUGGAUUACAUCACAUUAGCAUUUGAGAUAUUUUUACUUUAAUGUUUCAAAGAGAAGAAUUUUUGUUAAAGCAAGAUUUUCAUUUUUUUUCUUUUUUCUUGUUAAACUAUGAUAAACUGAAAAAUACAAGUAUAUCUUGAUUUUAAAAAUCAACCAAGACAAGAAAAUAGAAUGAACAACUAUUCUUAUAGGCAAUGAAUGGAAAACCUCUAAAUGUAGUCAUUGGUUUAGUAAGGACAGUUGGAACCAUAAACAGUAGAUAAGUUUCUAAUAAAAAUAAUAAAAUCCAUCAUCUAUAUAAGUUGAGAACAAAUAAAUUUCAUGUCAAAGAUCUAAAAAAUUUGAAGGAAACCUGAUAGUAAACAAAUAUUCAAUUCAU
Molecule: long non-coding RNA, 469 nt
Filed under: Citrus sinensis (sweet orange)
Lineage: Eukaryota; Viridiplantae; Streptophyta; Magnoliopsida; Sapindales; Rutaceae
Description: long non-coding RNA (CSIN_LNC005069)
Source: RNAcentral